AACGAACGCUGGCGGUAGGCUUAACACAUGCAAGUCGAGCGCCCCGCAAGGGGAGCGGCAGACGGGUGAGUAACGCGUGGGAAUCUACCCAUCUCUACGGAAUAACGCAUGGAAACGUGUGCUAAUACCGUAUACGUCCUUCGGGCGAAAGAUUUAUCGGAGAUGGAUGAGCCCGCGUUGGAUUAGCUAGUUGGUGGGGUAAAGGCCUACCAAGGCGACGAUCCAUAGCUGGUCUGAGAGGAUGAUCAGCCACACUGGGACUGAGACACGGCCCAGACUCCUACGGGAGGCAGCAGUGGGGAAUAUUGGACAAUGGGCGCAAGCCUGAUCCAGCCAUGCCGCGUGAGUGAUGAAGGCCCUAGGGUUGUAAAGCUCUUUCACCGGUGAAGAUAAUGACGGUAACCGGAGAAGAAGCCCCGGCUAACUUCGUGCCAGCAGCCGCCGUAA
This 447-nucleotide ribosomal RNA is filed under the name uncultured bacterium. Its description in RNAcentral is "partial 16S ribosomal RNA". It matches the Rfam family "Bacterial small subunit ribosomal RNA", at positions 29 to 523 of the family's 1533-position model. The record is from RNAcentral.